RNAcentral lists this non-coding RNA (30 nucleotides) under Mus musculus (house mouse). Lineage: Eukaryota; Metazoa; Chordata; Mammalia; Rodentia; Muridae. The record is from RNAcentral.
UUCGGAUGUAUCAGAUGAUCAGACCUUGUC